RNAcentral lists this long non-coding RNA (4688 nucleotides) under Sus scrofa (pig). Its description in RNAcentral is "lncRNA (ENSSSCG00045018640.1)". Lineage: Eukaryota; Metazoa; Chordata; Mammalia; Artiodactyla; Suidae. The record is from RNAcentral.
UGAAAAUAGAAGGCAACAGAUCACUUAUGAAUUAAGCUUAGGUCGCUUAUUCCCUGCAUUGCUCUUGCCUCAGAAAAGAGGGUAGGGGGAAAGAAACGACUUCAAAGAUAGGAUUGUGCUGUCCUGAUAAAAGAGUCGGAGGCAAAUUUCAAAUGCAAAAAAAGGGGGGGGGGACCAUGUUGUUCCGGAAUGAAACGGAUUAAGAUUGUGUGACAAGUGCGAGAUGUGGGGCUGUGAGACAUUUAUGAGCUGAGUGUGAGCUGGGAACUAUGCGCCUGUCCCUGAGCAUGUGGGGACCAAGGGUGUGUGCAGAGAAAGGUUAGGGUGGGAGAUUGGAAGGGCAUGUGUGAUUGUGAGAGCAAUGUGAGGGGUGUGAGUGUGGGUUUGGGUGUGUUAGGAGAGUGUGGACGGGAAUGUGGGAAUGUGGAUGGAUUAUUGAAGGGUGGUAGCUGUCAGUUUAUAUAAUUUUCAUCUCUUGGUCCUGAAGUUUCCUUGAAAUCAAUUCUACAGCAGGCAGCAGCCUUGAGCUUACAGAGCUGAUAUAAAACAACCAUUACAGUCCAAUAUCUUGCCUGUUUGCAAACUUCAUUUAAAACUGGGGGGGAAAAGACCCAGGAAUGGUUUUGUAAGAAAGGAAAAAAAGAAGAAAAGAAAACCACAGUGAAGCUUUAAACUAGUUUGGAUAAAUCUCUAAUCUUUUAUUUGUAACCUUUUACAAGCUUUAUUUCCCGUAUAUGAAAAGCUCCUUUUAUAUGGGCACGACAGACUUUUCCUUUGGAUUUUUAAUUAGAGCCCAUCAAUUGUAGCCAUAUUUAAGAAUCAAUAUAAAGUAAUCCUUCGAGAUGGGAUAAGGUUUUAAUCGAAAAUCUAAUUCCCCACUCUUUGCAGAUCAUUUUAAGGGGCUGGAUGAUUUAAAAAAAAAGUUCAAUUUUUAAAAGACAUAACACCUAAAACGUGGAAAAGAUCAUGUCUGCAAAAUAACCAACUGAUGUUGCCUUACAAAGAAAAAAAAAAGUCUGGCUGUUGUUGGAAACUUUUUUCUUCUAUUUAGAAGAAUUUGACUUAUUUUUUCUCAAACACUAUUCUAUAAUGUGGCUCCUAUGAGAGUUUGAAUGGGGAGAGAAAAAAAAGGGUUUGUCUAUAAUAGCAUUUCAUAUGCAAAAGAUACUAACUUAAAUUUUUUUAUUAACAAAGAAAACAUAGAUCUUGACAGAUCCUUUUCACUACAGGCUCCCCAGUUCCCAAGAUUAGAAAAUGAAUAAUACACACUUUUCAUUUUUGUUCAGUGAUACAAGCUUUCCACUUUCAUAUCCUGGAAUAAACAUUUCUGACCAAUUUUUAAACUUCAACAUUAGAAUUUUGUGAUUUUUAAUUUCUUACAGUAAAUGAAAAGUUGCUUAUCACAAAGGCAUAGAAUUUUAAGCAGUUCUGCUAGAGUGACUAGCUUUCAAUUUGUCUUUUUUUUUUUUAAGAAGAAAUAUGAAAGCAAGGAAGAAAACAGAUAAACAAAAACUAAUUGUAGGUGCACAGCCCAGAUAUUUUUUUGCCUGUUAAUGAUCAAACUGAUGUAUUUGUUCAAAGACUGCAUGUUAUCUAAAUGUGCAUAGUCCAUUUUCAAAAAACCACGGCUUUAGUUUAAGAUCUGCAAAUUAUCUCUAAACUAGAAGGGAUCCCUCCAAAAGUUUGUAGGCAUAUUUUUCAGUGACUGACUUGUUUUUGCUAUAUCUGUUAAGUGCAUUUGAAAAAAAAAAAAUGAACUUGUCGUAUUUGCUUUUUGAAAUCUGAAUGAAGUGGGUUUGGACAUAUUUGAUACUCAUGCUUUCCUUUUAUCUCCAGAAAUUUCAAUUUAUUUAAAAGCCUGGUGCUUAAUGCACUACUCGGCCGCAUAAAUUUUAGAGAAACUCUCUUGUAUUUCUCCGUAAUCGUGUCUAAUGAAAACCUGGAAUUUUCCUUCAUUUUAAAAAAAGUGAAAAUAUAAUGCAUCUUCAUUAGGAAAAUUGACUGCUGUGCUCACGACAGUUCUUAAUUGAAAAGGCAACCUAUUUUAAUGGUGUGGUUGAGAAGAAGAUUACAUACUUUAUCCAAACACAAAGACAAUUAAUAAUGAGAAGCAGGCAGCUGCCAUUAACUCUAAUGCAGUUGCAUCAAUGUCAGUGAAAACUGCUCAUACCUGAGAUAGAGAGUGCAAACUCUCCUAGCUCCCUCCUUCCCCGAUUCACCCACUCCUUAAUUUGGAUUUCUUAAUGUGCAAGCGCCAGGGCCGCCUGUGAACAGUUAGGCUAGUUUUGGGCAAGUGCGGCGCGGGGCCAGGCGCCCCUUCCCGCGAGUCGUGCGGUCCCGGGACGCGCCGCCUGGCCGGAGGCGCCAGGGCCACCGGUGUCUGCGCGCAAACCCGAAGCCCUCCCGGUUGCACACGGAGACGCGUGAGGACUGCCGCAGCCCCCGCGCUCAGAAAGGUUUGGAGACCUGGAGCCACCUGGUGCAUUUUGAAAAGUUUACCUAAAGGGACAGGGCAGCCUCGGCGACUGGGCUCUGCUUUGAUUCACUUACGGAAAAGUCGUGGCGAAAAAAAAAAAAAAAACUUUUAAAAUUGAGAGUUUGGGGUGGAGGUGGGGCGUCUGGGCGCAAAUGGUCAUCCGGCGGAUCGAGCAAGUUUGCCAAAGCGCCCCCUCUACAACUCGGGCCAGGAGAGCAGGCGUGCGUGUGCGCGUGUCCGUCUCUCUGUGUGUAUGUGUGUGUGCUCGCGCGUGCGUGUGUGUUAAAGCAGGGGAAGCCCAGCCUUUCCUAGGUUCGAGCACACUCCGACUUCAGACUGGGAAAUGGGGAGGAGGAGGCGGCCACCUCUGGUCUUUUCCUUUACACGGCGAGGCGCGGCCAACUCAGGCUGUAAGCCGGCCGCCUCGAACCCAGGGCUGCGAGCUGCCCAAGUCAGCGUGCGAAGGGAAGACCCCGGGAUCCCAAGUCUUGGCGCUGAAAGAGCGGCGGCGCCCUGUGCCAGGCGUGGCUCUGCCGCGGGUCGAGCCUGGUGCUCCGGCGCGCGGGGACCUGAGGGCGCGGUGGUCUCUCGCCGUCCCCAAGCCCCGGGGACUGCUACAGGUUGGGGAAGGGGAGAUCACAAUUGGGGUUUUUACGAGGUGUACUGGAGCCCUCGAGGGGCUAGACGCCUGCUGCUGGGUGUCCUACAGCCCCUGGAACUCGCUCAGCCCCUGUCCCAUCCCCAGCGUUGGCUGCCAGCCGGAGGCUCGGGCGAUUAGGGGAGGCGGCACUCCACGGUCAGUAUCACUGUCCCCCUCAAUGUGGGUUAGGGGGCGCUCAGCCUAUCAGGUCUCCUCUCUUCACCAAACAAUUGGGAGUGGGUCUCGCUUCUUUGGGGAAUUCUGGAGGCUUCUCACCUUGGCCAGCCACACUGGGUGCCAGGAGAGAUACACCGCCGGGGUCUACGCCGGUGGGAGGUGCCUGGGAGGGAGGAGGGUAAGCAGACCUCCAGGGCUGCCAGGAGGACGCUCAACUGGACACAGGCCUUUCCCUUGAGGGAAACUUCCUCCCACAAAUGCACACUUCUGUCUGUUCCAUCCCUGGCACUGCACAGUGGGUUAAGGAUGAGGCGUUGCCAUGAGCUCUGGUGUAGGUCGAAGACGUGGCCGAGAUUCUGAGUUGCAGUGGCUGUGGUGUAGGCUGGCAGCUACAACCCUGAUUCAACCCCUGGCCUGGGAACUUCCAUAUGCUGCAGGUGUGGCCCUAAAAAAAAAAAAAAAAGACAGACUUCCUGCAGAGUUGCCUUUUUUGUGAUGCUGCCCACAGGUUAGGGGAGUCUCUGGAAGCCUCUGAAAACAAGCAGACUUGGAGUGUUCCCUGAAGCCCCAGACUCCUCCUUUUCCCUCCCACAAGAGAGGUGGACCUCUAAAGCACUGUAAACUUCUUUUGAUGGGAGCUAGCUAUCAGCUGCUUGUUAUGGUCUAGGGACCUUCUCCCCUCCUCCUCCACCUCAUGCUGUAUGAUGUAUGUGCAGCUUUUCCUGUUCCUUUGGACAGACGACAAAACUUGAAGUACUCCAGUUACUAUUUACCAGAUAAGCCUUGGUUUCUGCUAUGGUGAGUUCGUGUAUGUCAGCUGGGUAUCAAGGGAGAGACCAUGUCACCAAGACCAGUAAGAGAUGGUUCGAUUCUUGGGAUAGCAUGAACCUUAGAUGGAAUGCUUGCCCAACGACAUAAGAGUAACAACAGACUAACUUGUAUUUGUGGAUCUGUUUCUUGGCAUUUGACAUGUGGAUGCUGGAGGCAUCUUUAUUAGCAUGUGUGUGACUUUGGAUGGAAACUCAAUAAUGACAUUCCUAAUUAUUUAUUGAAUACCAUUUAAGCUAGUUCAGCAACAGACAGUAGCUCUUAGCCUAAAUGGCGGGUUUCUGGCAGCUUAUUCAACUAAUGAACAAGCAAAAAGCGAAAGAUAUAAUUGCAUUCAAUACUUAGCUUCUGAAUAUGACAGAGUCACAACUUAAGAGACACACAGACCACACCAAAAGUAGAUGGUAAGUUCUGGGUUACUUUUUGAACAGCAGUUUCCUUCUGGUUUUGCUCUCUUGUAUUUGAUACAUAAAAUAGGUCAAAGAAACACAGAAGAAACAGGCAUGGUUUACAGAUAUUGAAUAUCAAUAGAGUUAUAGCCCUGAAUUUAUUCUCACUUUUUCCUAC